CAUGCAGUCGAGCGAUGAAGUUUCUUCGGAAAUGGAUUAGCGGCGAACGGGUGAGGAACACGUGAAGAAUCUGCCCUCCACUUUGGGAUAACACCGGGAAACCGGUGCUAAUACCGAAUAUUGAAACAUAAGUGGCAUCACUGAGUUUUGAAAGAAUUUCCGUGGAGGAUGACUUCCCGGCCUAUCAGCUAGUUGGUGAGGUAAUGGCUCACCAAGGCAACGACGGGUAGCCGGCCUGAGAGGGCGACCGGCCACACUGGGACUGAGACACGGCCCAGACUCCUACGGGAGGCAGCAGUGGGGAAUAUUGGGCAAUGGAGGAAACUCUGACCCAGCGACGCCGCGUGCGGGAUGAAGGCCUUCGGGUUGUAAACCGCUUUCAGUAGGGAAGAAGCGAAAGUGACGGUACCUACAAAAGAAGCACCGGCUAACUAUGUGCCAGCAGCCGCGGUAAUACAUAGGGUGCAAGCGUUGUCCGGAAUUAUUGGGCGUAAAGAGCUCGUAGGUCGUUUGUUACGUCGGAUGUGAAAACCUGAGGCUCAACCUCAGGCCUGCAUUCGAUACGGGCAAACUAGAGUUUGGUAGGGGAGACUGGAAUUCCUGGUGUAGCGGUGGAAUGCGCAGAUAUCAGGAGGAACACCAAUGGCGAAGGCAGGUCUCUGGGCCAAUACUGACACUGAGGAGCGAAAGUCUGGGGAGCGAACAGGAUUAGAUACCCUGGUAGUCCAGACCGUAAACGGUGGGCACUAGUUGUGGGAACCUUCCACGGUUUCUGCGACGCAGCUAACGCAUUAAGUGCCCCGCCUGGGGAGUACGAUCGCAAGAUUAAAACUCAAAGGAAUUGACGGGGCCCCGCACAAGCAGCGGA
This 868-nucleotide ribosomal RNA is filed under the name uncultured Actinomycetes bacterium. Its description in RNAcentral is "bacterial SSU rRNA". It matches the Rfam family "Bacterial small subunit ribosomal RNA", at positions 54 to 936 of the family's 1533-position model. The record is from RNAcentral. Lineage: Bacteria; Bacillati; Actinomycetota; Actinomycetes.